This 497-nucleotide ribosomal RNA is filed under the name uncultured bacterium. RNAcentral describes it as "partial 16S ribosomal RNA". It matches the Rfam family "Bacterial small subunit ribosomal RNA", at positions 28 to 507 of the family's 1533-position model. The record is from RNAcentral.
GAUGAACGCUGGCGGCGUGCCUAAUACAUGCAAGUCGAGCGAACAGAUGAGGAGCUUGCUCCUCUGACGUUAGCGGCGGACGGGUGAGUAACACGUGGAUAACCUACCUAUAAGACUGGGAUAACUUCGGGAAACCGGCGCUAAUACCGGAUAAUAUAUUGAACCGCAUGGUUCAAUAGUGAAAGACGGUUUUGCUGUCACUUAUAGAUGGAUCCGCGCCGCAUUAGCUAGUUGGUAAGGUAACGGCUUACCAAGGCAACGAUGCGUAGCCGACCUGAGAGGGUGAUCGGCCACACUGGAACUGAGACACGGUCCAGACUCCUACGGGAGGCAGCAGUAGGGAAUCUUCCGCAAUGGGCGAAAGCAUGACGGAGCAACGCCGCGUGAGUGAUGAAGGUCUUCGGAUCGUAAAACUCUGUUAUUAGGGAAGAACAAAUGUGUAAGUAACUAUGCACGUCUUGACGGUACCUAAUCAGAAAGCCACGGCUAACUACGUG